GUUACAGCCCCGAGCAAUGCGGCAGGAUCCCCGACUGGCGAUCGCAGGCGAAACUUUGCUGCGAGCCGACCAUGUGUGUGUGCGCGAGAGGGAGCGUGAGCGAGUUGCAUCCAAAAGUUUCUCACAAGCUUAAAAAGGAAAAACGAAAAAUUGACAACCGUUACACAGAAGAGCCUACAAAAGCUGCAGCAGCACAAGGGGUGAAGGAGCAGCACCAGACACAGGCUUAGAGCGGCCAGUAUGACAGACCAAUUUCAUUCACCCAAAAAGCAGAUUUGAGGAGCAAGAAAGUAGUGAAAGUUUCCUGCAGCAACAGGAAAAUCUGAUAUUUCAGAAUUCCUCAAGAUUUCCCCCCUGGAUCAUCUAUUACCUGCCGCCUUAUAGGGAAAAAAAGUUUCGUUUCUGAAAGAUAGUUUUAUUGAUUUCAAGAAUUAAUGUGAGUGCUUCAGGUGACUGGAUUUUUCAAAACCCAGUUGUAUAAUUGCAAAAACUUAAUAAAUGU
Long non-coding RNA from Pteronotus mesoamericanus, 502 nucleotides. RefSeq lists it as uncharacterized. The record is from RefSeq and is a predicted model, not a curated record. NCBI's taxonomy places the organism in Eukaryota, Metazoa, Chordata, Mammalia, Chiroptera, Mormoopidae. The transcript has 3 exons.